AAAGAGUUUGUAGGUUGAUAUUUAAGUCUUUUGUUAAAUCUUAAGGCUUAACCUUAUCACGGCAAAAGAAACUAUUUAUCUUGAGUUUUGCAGGGGUAAAAGGAAUUUUCAGUGAAGCGGUAGAAUGUGUAGAGAUUGAAAGGAACACCAAUGGCGAAGGCAUUUUACUGGGCAAAUACUGACACUGAGAGACGAAGGCUAGGGGAGCAAACAGGAUUAGAUACCCCGGU
Molecule: ribosomal RNA, 230 nt
Filed under: uncultured bacterium
Lineage: Bacteria
Description: partial 16S ribosomal RNA
Rfam family: Bacterial small subunit ribosomal RNA
Source: RNAcentral